This 509-nucleotide ribosomal RNA is filed under the name uncultured bacterium. RNAcentral's name for it is "bacterial SSU rRNA". It matches the Rfam family "Bacterial small subunit ribosomal RNA", at positions 53 to 540 of the family's 1533-position model. The record is from RNAcentral.
ACAUGCAAGUCGAGCGGGAUUUUCUUUGGUAGCAAUACCGAGGAAAAUUCAGCGGCGAACGGGUGCGUAACACGUGGGCAAUUUGCCUUAAAGUGUGGGAUAGCUCGGCGAAAGCCGGAUUAAUACCGCAUGUGGCUACUGGAGACAUCUUCGGGACGCUAAAGGUGGCGCAAGCUACCGCUUUUUGAGAAGCCCGCGGCCUAUCAGCUUGUUGGUGAGGUAACGGCUCACCAAGGCUAUGACGGGUAGCUGGUCUGAGAGGACGACCAGCCACACUGGGACUGAGACACGGCCCAGACACCUACGGGUGGCAGCAGUCGAGAAUUUUUGACAAUGGGGGAAACCCUGAUCGAGCGACGCCGCGUGGAGGAUGAAGGUCUUCGGGUUGUAAACUCCUGUCAUUUGAGAACAAGGCGUAUUUAUUAACUGUAAGUACGUUGAUAGUAUCAGAAGAGGAAGAGACGGCUAACUCUGUGCCAGCAGCCGCGGUAAUACAGAGGUCUCAAGCG